Non-coding RNA from Paramuricea clavata, 98 nucleotides. NCBI's taxonomy places the organism in Eukaryota, Metazoa, Cnidaria, Anthozoa, Malacalcyonacea, Plexauridae. The record is from the annotation of a GenBank genome assembly.
GCUAUUGCUAUUGCUAUUGCUAUUGCUAUUGCUAUUGCUAUUGCUAUUGCUAUUGCUAUUGCUAUUGCUAUUGCUAUUGCUAUAGCUAUUGCUAUUGC